AUUUGAAAGGUGGGCAUCAGCUCUAUCCAAAACACUGCCACACCAAUUAAUGAACCCUAGAUAUGAAAAAUCAAAAGGAAAAAAGAAAAUUUAUUCUCUUAACUGAACUAUAUAUGUUACAAAUCCUACAUAAGGAUUGCUGAUCUACCCACUAACUAACACUGAGAGGUGAACCAGACACAAGAAUUAGAAGCCACUGAUACACCCAUCAAGAUUUAUUCAAUUGUACAUGGCUUGGAACGAACUUGACCCGACUACAUUGUUUUAACUUGGAUAUAGCUGCUUGUGACUUACCAAGCAUAAGGUCCACGUAAACAGCUGUCAAAGUGGCCUCUGGACUGUCGGGUAUAAUGGACAAUGCUUGGGUCACAAAAUGGUGGGCACGUUCAAGUUCACCUUGUGCCGCAUACAUGGUUGCAAAAUUGGCAUAAAGGGUACCUCGCGCCUCUUCUGGUUUGUGGAAGACAAUACCUCGAGAUUCCUCAGGGGAAGAAAUCUUUGCAGAUGAUCCUCCAUUGGAAUCUUCACAAUCGAAAGUUUUCUCCAGUUGCCAUUGCUCACAGUCCUCCUGGCUGAAGGGCAACU
RNAcentral lists this unclassified non-coding RNA (585 nucleotides) under Hevea brasiliensis (rubber tree). Lineage: Eukaryota; Viridiplantae; Streptophyta; Magnoliopsida; Malpighiales; Euphorbiaceae. The record is from RNAcentral.